This is a long non-coding RNA of Symphalangus syndactylus (siamang), 7702 nucleotides long. RefSeq lists it as uncharacterized. Lineage: Eukaryota; Metazoa; Chordata; Mammalia; Primates; Hylobatidae. The record is from RefSeq and is a predicted model, not a curated record.
GGUUUGAUGAUAGGCUCCCCCGCUCCUUCACUCUGCACUUCUCCUUCCUGCUACCAUGUGAAGACGUGUUUGCUUCCCCUUCUGCCACAAUUGUAAGUUUCCUGAGGCCUCCCCAGACCUGCAGAACUUUCCAGAAGAAAAGAGAUGCCAUUUUUCAGCAGGGUCAGUAAGGAGAGUUUAAAAAAUAAACUGGAGGAGUUUAUGGAAACCUUAAGGGUAUCAGCAGCUACCAUGCCUAUCUGAAGCAACAAGAGAAAGAAAAGCCUUUCUCAAGAGAAGUGUAUUUUAAGACAGAAGAUGAACCAGGUAUCACAUUCUUCCAUAUCCACAAAGCCACAAGUUUUUAAAAUUUGAACUAAAUACCUGCCAAUUAUGGAUUAACCACUUUAACCUUCACAGCAUUAUUUUUCUUUUGAAGAAAGAAAAACUUACAAAAGUUUGGAGGUGGGUUUUGAAGCCAAGGUGGUAUAAAUGGUGUGUUAGUACAUUUUCAUACUGCUAAGAAGAAAUACCUGAGACUGCGUAAUUUACAAAGAAAAAGAUGUUUAAUGGACUCACAGUUCCACUUGGCUGGGGAGACCUCACAAUCAUGGUGGAAGACAAAGGAGAAGCAAAGGGUGCCAGUGAUCCUAAGGUUGUUGAAUUCAAUGGAAACCUUUCAGUAGCACUUGAUACAGCAGAUCCACAUUCUUCUCUUCAUUGUCAGGAUAUCAGCCAGUCUGUUUUUUCCUCUUGCUGUCUGUUACGGCUCAUUACCAUGCCCUUUGCUGGAUACUCCUCCAGUAGAUUUCCAAAUGCUGGAAGUAUUGAAAAUGAAUGAAUAAGUAAAUAAAUAUGUUUUUGAAAAUUAAAAGAGAAUGUGGUAAGUAUUAAAAUAGAUACAAAAAUGAACCUGAAAUGGUUUCUGACUUCAAGCCCACUUUAAUAUAGAGCAAAUAGUAAGGUGGGUAUUAAUAACCAUAAAAGGAAGAGUCAGUAACCUACACAGCCUUCCCAUCUUGCUUCUAUUCUCAGGUCUCUUCAAGUCUAUACUGCACACAAUAGCCAGCGAGGCAUUAAGGCACUAAAAAGAUAAUGUCUUAGCAUACUGGGACCCCUCCAGUGGCUUACCACCUCAGCGAGGGUAAAACUCAACUCUCUAACAGAACCUCCAGGGUCCUCUGUAAUGUGACUUCUGGCUGCUUUUCCAAUCUCAUUUUGGACCAUUCUUUCCUCUUCAGCUGCACUGGGUCCUUCCUGUUCCUUAAACACUCCAGCUACAGUCCUACCUCAGCCUCUACUGCAUUUCUCUCAGGUUUCCCUAGGGCAACGCUUUCUCUCCUUUGGAGUCUCCACAUCAUCCUUGGGAGGGGAUUGUGUGGCCAAGAAAUAAUCACAUUGUCUUGUGCUCCAGAAGCUCGACCUUGUUUUGAAUGGAGUCAGUUUAAAGUAAAUACCAAGUGGAAAAGAAGUUACAAAAGGGCUGCCUGUACUCAUGGCUUGGCACUGAAUUCCUCUAGAACAAGAGAGUCGAGAGUGAGACAGAAGCUACAAUGAAAUUAUAACACAUCCUGAGAAGUGAUCUACCAUCACUUCUGUUGUAUUAUAUUGUUCUAACACACCAACCCUCAUAUAUUAUGGGAGAUGACUACACAGGGCUGAGAUACAAGGAGAUGAGGAUCCUUAGAAUUCAUCCUGGAGAUUGGCUUCUAUACCGUCAAAAGCUCAUUUUUAUUUGUUUUUGUUAUGAAAUAAUAUAUUGUGCUAAUCCACUUAUCAAAAAUAUUUAUAAAAUACAAAAAGCAUGUUGUUAUGAUUAGAAAGAAACCAAGGAAAUCAAGACUUGAGGGGCCAGAAUAUCUGAAAGAAUAGGAAUGCUUGAGAUGAAACCUACCUUUAAUUGCUUUCUUCCUCAGAGUAGUUGCUGAUCCGUGGUACUGAACAUAGAGGACAAGAGAAAAGCAGUGACAGUUUUCCUGAGCUGAGGGAAAGAAAAUUGAAGUUGAGGAUUAUAUGCCAGACCAAGAGCCAACGUAUGUUCUUUAUUAUAAUCCCAAACAUUGGAGCAGAGAGUAAGAUUGUGGAUGAUGUCUUGAGUUACAUAUGGGACUACAUCACUUCUUUUCUUCCGGCAUGUGAUGAAUAUUGUUUGCAUAAAUGUUUGCAGUAGACUGGAAAUGAUUCUGAGGUUAGAAGGUGGAAGCUUAUUAGUUGUAAAGGAAGGCAAAGUCCACAUACUAACAAUGAUGCUCUUUCAUUGUGGUGUUGGCCUUAUGUAUUAUACUUCAUUGGAGGCCUCAAAUAGGUGAAAUUGAUACAUGGAAGACUAAGGUAGCUCUGGUCCAUACACCAUCUUUUUUUUUUGUCUAAAAUAAGUAAAAUUUUGGGCUAUUUCAUCAGGGCAACAAAAAUGCAUGGGUUUUCAGUAAAUUUGAAGGUAUAUUUGAUACGUUAUUAUUUAUAUUUUACAUAGAACAGUUGAUGUAAAAUUCACUUUAGAGGACCCUGAUGAUACUUCAAAGAGACAGCUGGUUAUAUUUAUAAAGCUAUAUACACAGUUAUAAAAAUUUACACAAAAUAUUUUGAUACAUGUAUAGCUAGUGUGUAUAUUAUUGUUUUAUAUACAUAGAUUUGUUUGUAAUUUAUUUUUGUUGUUUACUUACCAUAAGCAGGCACUGUCAGCACUUUGUAGAUAUUACUUCAUUUAUUCUCCAGAAAAAUUCCUGUGUGCUAAAUAUAUCACUCAAAGCGAGGCUUAACUACUAGGAUGUGUGAGCAAAGUAUAGAAGUGUGUCUCUCUCAAAUGUACUAGGACUGGGUAAGUAAAUCAGAUCAGCAGGUAUUUCCCUUCCUUACAGCCACGCAGAGACUUGAUUCCUUCCGUGUUCCCUACUUUAAUACCUAAGUUAUUGUACCCAUUUACAUCGAAAAGUAGCUGCCUGAAAGUCCAGGUUUUUAGCUAGCUCAAAGGAAAGACACAUACUGCAAAGAGAACAUAGAGAGAGAAUGCUCAAAAUUUUAAAGAUUUGGGCAUGGAAAUGGCUCAGAUCACUUUAACUCAUAUCCCAAUGGGGAGAGCAUAGUCAAAUGAUAGGAUCUAAAUGCAAGGGAACCUGGGAUUGCAGCCCAGAUGGUUGUGAAAAACUAGCAAUUUCUCCUAAAUUAGGUGUGGUAGAGAUGCUAGUUGUCUCCCAAAAUAUUCUUCUUUUUUUCUGUGGUAAUAGGAUCCUGAUUUUUUUUUUUUUUCAGAGCAGGAGUGGAAAUUUAUUUAAAAGGGCUUUGGAACAGGAAGGAAAGGAAAAUUUCCUUGGAAGAGACCCAAGCAGGUGCCUGAAGGUCCCACAGAGAGGGGAAGGCAGCUGAAAAAAGGCAGACCCUGACUUUUUGAGUGGGUCUAAGUCCAUCCAGAAUGGACACCAUAUUUUCCAGCCUCCUGGGCAGCUAGGUACAGCCAUGUAACUAGUGCUGGCCAAUGAGACAUGUUCUUUGUGACAUAUCACAUAUCAUCUGUGUACCCUUUACCACACUCUCUUUUUUCCUUCCUUUCUUCUUUCUUGCCUCUACAUCAAAAUUCUGUGUUCCUUGACUAUGAAGUAAAGGCCACAAAUGAUAGAACAAGAAGAUAAAAGGACUCUGAUCCCUUGAUGCAUUAACCACCAUAUCAGUCCUCUUCCACUUGUUCAGUUUUGUUUUAGAAAAAGCAUAAACGUCAAUCUUGCUUAAGCCUCCAUUACUUUUGGGGUUUCUGUCACCAGCAGCUCAAUAUAAUCCUAACCGAUACAAUUGGUAUUACACUUCUUAUGUAAAUGACAGACUUAGGCCCAGAGAGGUAAAUGAUCUUGAUUUAGGAUAUAUAAAACCAAGAGAGUGUUGCUCCAAAUUCCAUGCUUUUCCUCCCGAUCUGUUCAGGCAAGAUGCAAAUAAAAACAAGUAAAAAUCUCUUUUGGUAACAAUGGGAAUAUAUGCGUGGCUCUUGGGGGGAGAAUUUAAACAAAUUGUUUACUCAAGUCACUGUAUGCUGAAACAAUUUAUGGCAUUCUAUCAUGGCAGUGCUAGCUUUCCCGUCCUUAGCAAAUCUCAUCCAGCUAGCUCAAAGGAAGAGAUAAAGAAGAAAGUUAGAUCUUUUGAGCUAAAUGAAACAGCAGAUAAAAGCAAACAGGGAAAUGCCAUCAGUUUAGAAAAUAAACAACAUAUUUAUCCUAGUCUGUGCCUCGAAUGCCUUAGGAGGGAAGUAUACAAAUUGAGUGUCUUCCCCCUCUAUUUUCUUUGUUGACAAUAGAUGUUGGGAACAUUAAAUCUGUCAGAGUGCUUGUGGGGAGAUAGGUCAGCUGAUCCUUUCCAAUGAUUGACAUCCUUGAGUUUCAGAGAAUUGACUAAUUUAGAGAUGAUCUGGUCUUUUGACCUUCAGGCUGUCAUAGAGACAGUCAUAGAGUUUGCACAGGUUACAAGUUGCUGACUGAGUCUGAUUUUUUUUUCCCGGUUAAGAACUGGAGUUGUGCAAUAGAUAAUGGGGGAAAAACGAAAGUUUAAACUGCAGUAAAAGACUUUUCCCCUACUAAUAACAUUAAUAUUCUUGAUGUGUUCUGAAAUGCACAUUAGGUAUGUAGUUACCACUGUGCUGUGUUAUAAAAUACUCUCUGUUAGAAAUAAAAAAGAUACUGUGACAGGAAUUCACUUUGGGAGUGUGGAAAAAGCAUAGAAAGAUGAAGAUACUCAUUCCAGAUCCAGUUCUGCUACUAACUCACCAGGUGUCCUUGGGGAAGGAAAUCAUCUGAACUUUCUGAAUCUCAUUUUCCACAUCUAUCAAAUAAGAGCUAAACAACUUUUCAGGGCUCUUUCAACUGUAAAAUUAAAAGGAGGAAAAUCUGGGAUUCUAUUAUCUCAAUUCUAAUAUAAACUCUUUAUUGUGCUAAUUUCUGAGAGCAGGAAUAACUGUCAAUAGAACUACUUUUAUCAGUAUUUUACCAUAUGGAGUUGUUUUUGUUUGAGGGGACAUGAUUUUACACUCAUUUUUCUCAAUUUCUGUAACACCAAGCUAAGUAAUAAUGACCAGAAUGGAUUAUCAUAAUAUCUGCUAACAGAAGUUUUCUAUAAUUUUUAAGAAAUUGAAAAUUAUUUAUUAGGUAAUAAUCAUAAAUAAUUGUUACAUUUAAUAUCAUAAUAAUUAUUAAAAAUUAAUAAGUAAUAACUUUAAAUUAUUUAUAAUCAUUUGCUUAAACCUUGGCUAUCAUAUAAUUCUGUGUGAACACUAGGAAUGAUUAGAUAGUGUAUAAUUUUUAAAAUGCUUGUGUUUAAGCACGCAUUUGUGACUUUUCUCCAUUGUAAUUUUUUUGUAAAUGAUUACUAUUAUUUAGAAUCUAAAUCAUGUUGAUAAAAGGAGCAAAAUAGCAGCAUUGUAAUAUAUAGGACACCUACAGUUUCUAGGAAUGCACUUUCAUUUUGUGACUGUUCUUCUCUCUGAUUCUGUAAACAAAGAGGGGAAAUAGAAACAUUCUCCAAAUCUCCCAGGGCCCUGUGACCAUGAAGCUUAGUUUAUUAAUCUCUAUCUUUCUCUUUUUUUCUCUCUCUACUAUAUAUGUAGUUUAUUCUACAUGUAUAAAAUUAUUGAGAAUAAUUUCACCAAAACAAAUGUUUCCAUCACACAGACUGCAGAUAUUUGUUUUCUUUUUUAUUCUGUAUUUUAGAUCUCUUUUCAUACUAUCUGUCAGAAUCUUACUGAUAAAGCUGAAGCCUCCUUUAACUCCUUAUGUAUCUAAUUCCCUUCCCUAUCUCCUGAAUAUAAAUCCUAUCCUAAAAGUGUUACAAAUUCCUCACACUUACAAACAAUAUAUACACUAGCUCUUUAUUUUUUUUCAUUAACAUUAUCUUUCUGGAUAUAUCCUUCUAAUUAUUAUUAUCUAAUGGUAGAGGAUGAGGAUUUUGCUGAACAUCCCAGGCACCACAGGACAGCUUCCAAAACAAGGAAUUAGUGUCAAAAUACCCCUAAAUACUGCUAAGGUUGAGACACCCUGAUUACCCAAAGUAAAUAUUUUAAUUUUAUCUAAUUAAUUUAAUUGAAAUCCUAAGUAUGUAUUGCUAGAGAGAAAAAAGCAGACACUUCACACUGACUUACUUCCUCCAAGUGGAGAAACACAGUACCUCUAACUUGUAGAAGAAAAAAAAGUGUAUGAAAGCAUUAUUGACGAACGCCUCUCCAUAUAUAUCGUAGAGAACAUCCUAAUCAUUGAAGUAUAAAAAAAUUUCCACCCUCUUGCUUUUAGCAAGAAAAAUUGGAAUUUCAUAUUUAACUUGUUAUAAGUAUCCAUUUUAACUUAACUAUCAAACUGUGUCAAUCACUCAACCACUAAAAUAAAAUAGGUCCUUCUUAAUACUGUGCUUUUUUUCCACAUUGUAACAAGUGGAUGUAUAAGAAACUAGACACCAAUUUAGAAAAAAAAAAAAAAAAAAACUUGUUAGUUUAACUACUCACUUUAUUUAUUUAUUUAUUUAUUGAUACGGAGUCUUGCUCUGUCGCCCAGGCUGGAGUGCAGUGGUGCGAUCUCCAUUCACUGCAAGCUCCGCCUCCCGGGUUAACUCCAUUCUCCUGCCUCAGCCUCCCGAGUAGCUGGGACUACAGGCGCCCACCAUCACACUCGGCUAAUUUUUUUGUAUUUUAAUAGAGACUGGGUUUCACCAUGUUAGCCAGGAUGGUCUUGAUUUCCUGAACACGUGAUCCGCCCGCCUCGGCCUCCCAAAGUGCUAGGAUUACGGGUGUGAGCCACCACGCACGGCCUCAAACACAUUUAAAUUUACCGAAUUUAUGUGUACAAUUCAAUGAUUUUUAGUAAUUUACUAAGUUGUGCAAUCAUCAGCAUAAUCUAGUUUUAGAAUAUUUCCAUCAUCCCAGUAAGAUCACUCAUAUUUAUUGACAAUUAUUCCCUAUGCCCUCUCCCUGUAAGCCCCAGACAACUGCUUAGCCUACUUUCUGUCCCUAUGAAUUUACAAUUUUUUAGACAUUCGUCAUAAAUGAAACAAUUCAAUAUGUAGUCUUCGUGUCUGGCAUCUUUUUCGAAUACAUUUUACAUAUUUUUCACAGGGAACUGCAGAAAUCUGCUUUUAUGAUUUUGGUACAAGUUUUUGGUAGAAGACAUUAAGUUUUAGGGUGGGGCUUUUAAUUGUGAAGGUUUAAUAUACUGAGCUGGAAUGGAGAUCACUGAAUAAUAAUUACAAGCUACACGUUGAAAUUAUUUGAGAGCAUGUUCUCAUUUUGUAGAUAUGUUUUCUAGAAAACUGUUUUUAUUUUCUAUUGUUUUUAUGUUUUCAUUAUUGUCUUGUUGAAAGUGUUAUGCAACCUAAACUCAUUCAAUACCCAAGUUGAAUACUCAUAAUAAGAUAUGAGUAUGUCUUACUCCUUGGCUGUUAAGCAAAGAAGCAUAUUUUCAACACACCUCACAUUUUUUUUCAGUAUAUUUCAAAACAUUCAUUUAUUGUGAGGACAUUUCAAAAUAUUAAUCCUUUCUAAAGUGAUACAGAGGGGAAAACAUGAAGGAAAAUACCUCUUCAUGGACAUAACAUCAUAUACAGAUGUUAGCAUACUCUGGUGUUAGACAAAGUAUAUAUUAUUUAUAUUUGUUUUGUUUCAAGUUUAGUCUAGCAUGAUUAUUACUGUCAUUUUUCCUAGAUUAAAAUAAAUAUCGGAUCACCAAAACAAAGUUGAAAUACACCAAAACAUAAAGAAUAUAUA